Molecule: ribosomal RNA, 468 nt
Filed under: uncultured bacterium
Lineage: Bacteria
Description: partial 16S ribosomal RNA
Rfam family: Bacterial small subunit ribosomal RNA
Source: RNAcentral
GACGAACGCUGGCGGCGUGCUUAACACAUGCAAGUCGAGCGGAAAGGCCCUGCUCUUGUGGGGUGCUCGAGUGGCGAACGGGUGAGUAACACGCGUGUAACCUGCACUUGACUUUGGGGUAAAAUCAGGAAACUGGGGCUAAUAUCGCAUAGGAGCUCCUGCUGCACGGUGGGCGAUGGAAAGUUUCGGCGGUUGGGGCUGGACUCGAGGCUUAUCAGCUGGUUGGUGGGGUAGUGGCUGACCAAGGUUUUGACGGGUAGCCGGCAUGGGAGGGUGGCCGGCCACAUUGGUACUGAGAGACGGCCCAGACUCCUACGGGAGGCAGCAGUGGGGAAUAUUGCACAGUGGGCGGGAGCCUGAUGCAGCAACGCCGCGUGCGGGAUGACGGCCUUCGGGUUGUAAACCGCUUUCGCCUGUGACGAAGCGUGAGUGACGGUAAUGGGUAAAGAAGCACCGGCUAACUACGUG